Homarus americanus (American lobster) is the source of this 450-nucleotide long non-coding RNA. RefSeq lists it as uncharacterized. Lineage: Eukaryota; Metazoa; Arthropoda; Malacostraca; Decapoda; Nephropidae. The record is from RefSeq and is a predicted model, not a curated record. The transcript is spliced from 4 exons.
CCGAUGGUCGUUGAUAGUCGCUGAAGAGAACCAGAGGACAUCACUUGUCAACUUAACUCACAAGAAGGCUGGAGGGACGUCACCUGUCAACUCACCCGUCAGAUAGGUUAAAAAAGUUUUCUUCUUUGCCGUGAUAACGCAGGAUGAACAUCGUAUUAGUGAUGAUGGUGAUGUUGAUGGCAACUGCAUUGGUGGCGGCGCAAAUAAUUACCAGACCGAGAGACUUUCCCGGACAGAGGCGUCUAGGGGUGACCAACUACGGCACUCACAGCUUCGGCAAGAAAGGCUACAACGGCCAACCCGUUGCUAGAAUUAAGGAUUUCCGGUUUGGCUGAGUCCUUUAGGUCCGUGCUCCGUAGCCUGACACGCAGCCUUAGCAGGGCCGGAUUCAGGAGUGGGCAAAGUGGGCAGCUGCCCAGGGGCCUCCACAAUCUGGGGGCCUCUGCAUAU